CUGGCGGCGUGCUUAACACAUGCAAGUCGAGCGAUGAAGCUCCUUCGGGAGCGGAUUAGCGGCGGACGGGUGAGUAACACGUGGGUAACCUGCCUCAUAGAGGGGAAUAGCCUUCCGAAAGGAAGAUUAAUACCGCAUAAGAUUGUAGUGCCGCAUGGCAUAGCAAUUAAAGGAGUAAUCCGCUAUGAGAUGGACCCGCGUCGCAUUAGCUAGUUGGUGAGGUAACGGCUCACCAAGGCGACGAUGCGUAGCCGACCUGAGAGGGUGAUCGGCCACAUUGGGACUGAGACACGGCCCAGACUCCUACGGGAGGCAGCAGUGGGGAAUAUUGCACAAUGGGGGAAACCCUGAUGCAGCAACGCCGCGUGAGUGAUGACGGUCUUCGGAUUGUAAAGCUCUGUCUUCAGGGACGAUAAUGAC
RNAcentral lists this ribosomal RNA (420 nucleotides) under uncultured bacterium. Its description in RNAcentral is "bacterial SSU rRNA". It matches the Rfam family "Bacterial small subunit ribosomal RNA", at positions 36 to 455 of the family's 1533-position model. The record is from RNAcentral.